This 387-nucleotide unclassified non-coding RNA is filed under the name uncultured Agaricomycetes. Its description in RNAcentral is "sequence contains ITS2". The stretch from base 1 to 154 matches the Rfam family "5.8S ribosomal RNA". The record is from RNAcentral. Lineage: Eukaryota; Fungi; Basidiomycota; Agaricomycetes.
AACUUUUAGCAAUGGAUCACUUGGCUUUUGCAUCGAUGAAGAACGCCGCGAAAUGCGAAACGUAAUGUGAAUUGCAGAAUUCAGUGAAUCAUCGAAUCUUUGAACGCAUCUUGCGCCCCUUGGUAUUCCGAGGGGCAUGCCUGUUUGAGAGUCAUGAAUACCCUCAAUUCAUAUUUUUGUGAAUUGGACUUGGACGCCUGUCGUAGUGACUCGUCCUAAAUAGAUGAGUGGUUUCAUUUGGGUGACCCAAUGUGAUAAUUCGUUUAAGCAUUGUUUGAACCUCGAGAGUGACCGCUUCCAACCGUCCUUUGGGACACUUUCAUGUCGUCUGACCUCAAAUCAGGUAGGACUACCCGCUGAACUUAAGCAUAUCAAUAAGCGGAGGCU